Molecule: ribosomal RNA, 465 nt
Filed under: uncultured bacterium
Lineage: Bacteria
Description: partial 16S ribosomal RNA
Rfam family: Bacterial small subunit ribosomal RNA
Source: RNAcentral
CCUACGGGAGGCAGCAGUAGGGAAUCUUCCACAAUGGGCGAAAGUCUGAUGCAGCAACGCCGCGUGGAUGAAGAAGGUCUUCGGAUCGUAAAACUCUUUUGUUAGAGAAGUAAGUGCGUGAGAGUAACUGUUCAUGCUUCGACGUUAUCUAACCAGAAAGCCACGGCUAACUACGUGCCAGCAGCCGCGGUAAUACGUAGGUGGCAAGCGUUAUUCGGAUUUAUUGGGCGUAAAGGGAACGGAGGCGGUCUUUUAAGUGUGAUGUGAAAGCCUUCGGCUUAACCGGAGUAGUGCAUUGGAAACUGGGAGACUUGAGUGCAGAAGAGGAGAGUGGAAUUCCAGGUGUAGCGGUGAAAUGCGUAGAUAUAUGGAAGAACACCAGUGGCGAAAGCGGCUCUCUGAACUGUAACUGACGCUGAGGUUCGAAAGCGUGGGUAGCAAACAGGAUUAGAUACCCUAGUAGUC